Molecule: long non-coding RNA, 3156 nt
Filed under: Marmota monax (woodchuck)
Lineage: Eukaryota; Metazoa; Chordata; Mammalia; Rodentia; Sciuridae
Source: RNAcentral
GAUAUCAAAAUCAAAAUGUCUAGUGAUGCAGAACCAGGAAUGCCAGUAGGCUGGCAUUUAAGUUGUGAAGGAACUGGAAAAAGUAGAUGGUUUCUUCUUGCCCUACAUCCUAAAGGUUUGCACUCCAAGAGGAAAACAUGGCUGCUUAUAGCACAAGCUUUAGAAUCCCACUCACCUGUGUUUGAAUUACUAUUCUGACACUUCCUACAUCUAUGAACCUAAGUAAAUUAAUUAAUUUCUCAAUCAGUUUCCAAAGCUUUAAAGUGGAAAUAAUAGUGGUAUCCACUUGCAGCAUUAUUGAGCUAAAUGAAAUAUGCUUGAAGAGUUAUAAAAAUAGUCAGCUAUUAUCACAAAUACAAUGGCAAACAAAAUAACAAUUGAAUCGAGUGUUUGUGGGUCUAUGGGUGUCUAUGGAUCAGCUGAACUCAGCUCAUCUUCAAGGUGCAUGUCUGGCAGGGCAUGGCCCCAAGCUAUAAGGGGACAUUUAGAUCUCUGCACAUGAUUUCAUUAUGGGGUCAGGAUAAAUGGGCAGCAGUUACCACGUGUUUGGUGUGGGGAGUGGGAACUUUUCCCAUGGCAAUGGGACAAUAUGAGAGGGAAAGUCCAAUAGCAUAAGCCCACUUCAUGCCUUUGUUUGCAUCACCUCCAUAAAUAUCCUAUUGGCUAUAGCAAGUUACCUGGACAAACUGAAUGUCAAUAGAGAGAGGAGACAGUGCAAGGUCAUAUGGAAAAGAUGUAGAUACAAGGAGAAGGUGAAUAAUUGGGAACAAUGUCAUCCUCCAAAAGUUCUUAGAACAAUGGAAAGCUCAGAAAAUGGAGGGAUUGUUCUGGAUUGCUAUGGAAUCCUAUUGGAGUCCCAAAGAGGCUGGUAGUUGUGUAGAAGAGUAAUGACCAAACUCUUGUCACUUGAGGUUUUAAGAAAGAAGAAAUACCUUUUUUUGUGGUUCUGGGGAUGGAACCAAGGGCUUCAUAUAUGCUAGGCAAACACUCUACAGCUGAGCUACAUCCUCAGCCCAGUAAUGCUUCUUGAUAGCAUUUAUUCAAAUGAAAAUAGCUCUAGUUAUUCCCAUGGGGGAAAACGUAUAUUCUUACAACUUAGUUUAUGUCCUAAUCAUUGAGCAAAUUACAGAAAAAUUUCAAUAAGAAAAGUGGCACCGAUUUCUAGCAACUAGAAUGUUGAGAUCUUGACAAUUUGAGAAGUACCACCUGUGCAGUAGCUGGCUCUUUUUCUGCUGAUAUCAGGUGGUAAGCUUGUCUUGAAUCUUAGGUGGGCUGUGCUCAGUCUGUAGGCUGAAACAUCGUCCAUUUGUUGAUCUUUCACCUUAUCGUAUUGACCACAAUAUAACAACAGUCCUCAAUAAUUCCCUUCCUUUGAGGAAGGCCCCUAGGUGACUACCAAAUGUGUAUAGAUUUGAAAGUAACCACAGGUAAGCCUAAGUGUCCUCUAAUGCUGUAUGAAAUUUGUUCUAGUAGUUUCUUCUUUCCUUAGUCUACCCCUUCACUAACCCAUCUGGGCUUCACAUCUCAGACAAAAACCAUGAACUGUGCUUAUGCUCUCCUCCCUGAAGAAGCCAUGACUACCCAGAUUCACAAGAAACUUUUCUGCUGGAUGAAGUUAUUCUGCCCUUUGGAAGGUAAAUAUAAGAACACAAUUCUUGGUGGAAAUUCUGCCAACAUAAGUCACAGAAACCCCCCUGUUUCCAGACAACAAAGCCAUACAAAAAGAAAAUGGCUUGAAUAUUGUAACUAUAUGUUACAGUCAUGGUCCAACAUUGAUAUCUUGGGACUGUUGAAUAAAGUCUCUAUUCCACUUACUUAAAGCUUGGAAGUCCUCAUUUGUCAAUCCUGUGAUGAUGAUGAGUGUGGAUGGCUUCUGAAUUCCCUUUAUGGUUCUUGAUAAAUGUUCAAUAAAAGGUCAUUAUAUGGCCAGGUUAUGAUAUAUUUAUAAUCUGUAUCAUACCAAUGCACUAGGACUUUUAAUAAAUGCUGAAUAUUAAGAGUCUAAUUCUUUCAAAGCCAGUUUGGAACCAUUACAGAUUUCAAUCUGGGGGUUGGAAGGCAAUUGCCCUUUCUUCUCUAUCAGUUCUGAGAGUGGACACUUGAAGAUGGGGGAAGAACUGGGCUGAGAUGUAGCAUCUUGAUGGCAACAAAGGGGUGGCACCCCUUGAAAUCUCCAACCCAGUACACAGUAUAACAGACAGACUGGUUUCUUCAAAGAGUCUUUACAAAACAUUUGAGGAGGCAAAAAGACCAAGUCCAGAGUGUAUCAGGAGACAACCUGCCAUGACCCACAUAGGACAAGCUUCUGGUCUCUCACUGAGACACCUGCUUCCUCCAGAAUGCCAUCUGCCCAGUUCCCUGCCCCAAUCUCACAGAGCCAAUGAGUGGCAGCAUAGGGGUUGAACUGAGUCCUCCUUUCCCCACAAUCUCAUGUCUUUCCAGGAUACCAUCUUGCCUCCUUGUAAAAUCAGAAUGGACUGAAGCUUGCUACCUCCUGAACAGAGAAUGCAGGUGGGAGGAAGACUAGGGGCUGGUCCUAGCUUCCAGCAUGUAAGACCUAAUUCUUCCCUUAAGUGACUUUUGGCAAGGAAUGACUGCCUCCUCAGUUGCAUCCACUAUGUUCAAGAGUUGCUUUAUCUCUAUUUGAACUGACUCUCCAACAUAACUUCACUGUGAAAUGCAUUUUACCAAUCAUACAGUAAAUAAAACACCCAUUGAGCAAGUGGGAGUGUUUGUUAUAGUAGAUUUGCAUGCACUACAGACCCUAUAGAUUUGUUAUGGCAAGCAUCUUACUCUCCAACUUCAUAUUUGUUCCAGUCUUGCUCUUAAGGCAUGAAAAACAAAAUAAUCAACAAACAAGCAUGGAUCCUUCUGCAGCAUGAGUGAGUUUAGAGGCAGUUCAAAGUUGCUGCAAGAGAAAUUUUUCUGUAAGAGGAUGAUAAAUGGAGAAAGACAUUGGUUUCCUUAUAGAUCAGAGCAUCCAAGUGUAAGAAAUGGAUUUAGAGAUGCUAAUUGUGGUAAUGAAUGAUGAAGAGACCAGGAAGUGUCUAAGAUCAGCAGAGAGAGAUGGGAAGCUUCAAUGUAAAACAAAAAGAAGCACAUUUAAACACAGCAUGAUGUGAUGUCAACACAUUCACACCAGGAUAGCUAAAGUAG